GAUGAACGCUGGCGGCGUGCCUAACACAUGCAAGUCGAGCGAACAGAUAAGGAGCUUGCUCCCUUGAAGUUAGCGGCGGGCGGGUGAGUAAAACGUGGGUAACCUACCUAUAUGACUGGGAUAACUUCGUGAAACCGGAGCUAAUACCGGAUAAAAUUUAGAACCGCAUGAUUCUAAAGUGAUAGAUGGUUUUGCUAUCACUUAUAGAUGGACCCGCGCCGUAUUAGCUAGUUGGUAAGGUAACGGCUUACCAAGGCGACGAUACGUAGCCGACCUGAGAGGUUGAUCGGCCACACUGGAACUGAGACACGGUCCAGACUCCUACGGGAGGCAGCAGUAGGGAAUCUUCCGCAAUGGGCGAAAUCCUGACGGAGCAACGCCGCGUGGGUGAGGAAGGGUUUCGGCUCGUAAAACUCUUUUAUUAGGGAAGAACAACUGUGUAAGUAACUGUGCACGUCUUGACGGUACCUAAACAGAAAGCCACGGCUAACUACGUG
RNAcentral lists this ribosomal RNA (497 nucleotides) under uncultured bacterium. Its description in RNAcentral is "partial 16S ribosomal RNA". It matches the Rfam family "Bacterial small subunit ribosomal RNA", at positions 28 to 507 of the family's 1533-position model. The record is from RNAcentral.